RNAcentral lists this ribosomal RNA (640 nucleotides) under bacterium Ri.J7AB. RNAcentral describes it as "bacterial SSU rRNA". It matches the Rfam family "Bacterial small subunit ribosomal RNA", at positions 47 to 684 of the family's 1533-position model. The record is from RNAcentral.
CCUACCAUACAAGUCGAGCGGAUGAAGGGAGCUUGCUCCCUGAUUUAGCGGCGGACGGGUGAGUAAUGCCUAGGAAUCUGCCUGGUAGUGGGGGACAACGUUUCGAAAGGAACGCUAAUACCGCAUACGUCCUACGGGAGAAAGCAGGGGACCUUCGGGCCUUGCGCUAUCAGAUGAGCCUAGGUCGGAUUAGCUAGUUGGUGAGGUAAAGGCUCACCAAGGCGACGAUCCGUAACUGGUCUGAGAGGAUGAUCAGUCACACUGGAACUGAGACACGGUCCAGACUCCUACGGGAGGCAGCAGUGGGGAAUAUUGGACAAUGGGCGAAAGCCUGAUCCAGCCAUGCCGCGUGUGUGAAGAAGGUCUUCGGAUUGUAAAGCACUUUAAGUUGGGAGGAAGGGCAGUAAGCUAAUACCUUGCUGUUUUGACGUUACCGACAGAAUAAGCACCGGCUAACUUCGUGCCAGCAGCCGCGGUAAUACGAAGGGUGCAAGCGUUAAUCGGAAUUACUGGGCGUAAAGCGCGCGUAGGUGGUUCGUUAAGUUGGAUGUGAAAGCCCCGGGCUCAACCUGGGAACUGCAUCCAAAACUGGCGAGCUAGAGUAUGGCAGAGGGUGGUGGAAUUUCCUGUGUAGCGGUGA